Molecule: ribosomal RNA, 466 nt
Filed under: uncultured bacterium
Lineage: Bacteria
Description: partial 16S ribosomal RNA
Rfam family: Bacterial small subunit ribosomal RNA
Source: RNAcentral
GAUGAACGCUGGCGGCGUGCUUAACACAUGCAAGUCGAACGGAAAGGCUCCUGCUUGCAGGGGUACUCGAGUGGCGAACGGGUGUGUAACACGUGGGUGAUCUGCCCUGCACUUCGGGAUAAGCCUGGGAAACUGGGUCUUAUACCGGAUAGGACGAUGUUUUGGAUGCCAUUGUGGAAAGUUUUUUCGGUGUGGGAUGAGCUCGCGGCCUAUCAGCUUGUUGGUGGGGUAAUGGCCUACCAAGGCGUCGACGGGUAGCCGGCCUGAGAGGGUGUACGGCCACAUUGGGACUGAGAUACGGCCCAGACUCCUACGGGAGGCAGCAGUGGGGAAUAUUGCACAAUGGGCGCAAGCCUGAUGCAGCGACGCCGCGUGGGGGAUGACGGCCUUCGGGUUGUAAACUCCUUUCGCUAGGGACGAAGCGCAAGUGACGGUACCUGGAGAAGAAGCACCGGCUAACUACGUG